Molecule: non-coding RNA, 2695 nt
Organism: Misgurnus anguillicaudatus (oriental weatherfish)
Lineage: Eukaryota; Metazoa; Chordata; Actinopteri; Cypriniformes; Cobitidae
Source: RefSeq, a predicted model, not a curated record
CGUGACGACGUAACAGUCAGUGUCGCGCUCACUAAAGGCUUGAUUGACUGAGGAGGCUCCCGUAAAAAUGAGGUACUUUUAACCAAAGUGACUCGUAAAUGAGGAACACUGCAUUAAAGGUGAAGAUCCUGAGGAUACAAAACAAAAGUGCUGCAAAAGAGCUUCCAAAACUGCUUAAGGAAGUACAAGUGGACACAGCUGAAAGACAAACAAUUUGGACAAAUAAGAAAAGGAAAGCAACGUUUUGUCUCAUCAAGUGUCCUCUUUUGGUACCUUUAUCCAAAUCGUCUUACAACCGAGGAGUGCUCCAACGAAAGCGACAAAUGCUUCGGAUAUAGAAGCUAAAAGAUUUUCCAAAACUACUUGAAGAAGUGUAAGGUGUGUUUGGUGUUGAAUCAGUGAACUUCAAGACGGUGACGGAGGGAGAUUCUGUUACUCUAUACACUGAUCAGAAGGAUAUACAGAGAUAUAAAGAAGUACUGUGGAUGUUUGGAGAUCAUGAUCAUUGUAUAGCUGAAAUCAGUAAAGUGAAAAACAUAAGUGUAACAAAAGAUUUUCGGGAGAUGUUCACAAACAAACUGAAGCUGAACGGAACGACUGGAUCUCUUACGAUCACAAACGUUGAAUUUAAAAACUCUGGACCAUAUAAACUACGACUCGUUGAAGGCAAAAUAACUUCUGACUUUAAAUUCAACGUUACGGUCUAUGCUCGUCUGCCCGUUCCUGUCAUCUUCAGCAAAGUCUCAUCACAAUGUUCAUCAUCAUCAAGCUCAAAAUGUGUGUUGUUGUUGUGUUCGUCAGUGAAUGUGAGAGAUGUGAGUCUGUCCUGGUACAAAGGAAACAGUUUAUUGUCCAACGUCAGUGUGUCUGAUCUCAACAUCAGACUCUCUCUACCUCUGGAGGUUGAAUAUCAGGAUACAAACACAUACAGCUGUGUGGUGAACAAUCCCAUCACAAAACAAACUCAACAGUUCAACAUCAAUGAUGUCUCUCAGAUUCAUUCAAACUUGAACCGAUGUUUCAGUUUUACUGAAGCUGUGAUCCGAAUGGUCUUCUCAGCUCUGGUGGGUGUGGCCAUUGUUGCUAUAGUGAUUUAUGACAUCAGAGCCAGAAGACUUGAACAGAAUCUGAAGGAUCAGACAUCAAACUCAAACCCAAAAUGAUGCGCACAGUGGCGGCUCGUGACUUCUUUAACGAGGAGGCAUGGAUGCAAAACUCGCGAAAACGUCAAAAUAUGUGUUUUGUGCAUCGUAAAACUACACUGUAAAAAUACUUUGCUGCCUUAAAAUUUUUUGUUGAAUCAACUCGGAUUUACAAGUAAUUUCAACUUACUAUUAUUUACUUGACUAGAGAUGCAUUGUUAUAACUACAGGUGAGUUGUUAUAACUUAUAAAAUAUAGUUGAGAAAAGUCAACUGUGACAACUUAUCUCUGUUGACAUGACCUGUAAAUCUAAGUUGAUUUAACAAAAUAAUUUAAGGCAGCAUUUAAGUAUUUUUUACAGUGUAUGUGCAUCACAAGUCACGCCACAGCCUGCUACAGACGCUUCGUAAGUGUUUAUGAUAAAAGAGACGCUUGCGUUGGCUAGAUACUCACUUAAUCAUACGUGUAAUCAGAGUUUAGUGUUAAAUUAGUGUCUUGCGAGACUUGUGAGCGUCUCUUUUUUCAUAAACCCUUUGGAGACGUAUGCAGCAGACACGUAUUUUGACAUGAAGCGCAAUGCACGUAGGUUCACGAAUCACGACAUUAUAUUGUGAACAUGUAUAAAAAUGCAAAAAAUGUUUUAGUUAAUGAUUUCUUUGAAUAAUCACAAUUUUUAUUUUUUUAAGUAAUUUAAAAAAAUUCAUUUACAUUUUCUGUAGUGUACGUAAUAAAGUAAUUUGAAAUUAAUUUACAAUAAAAUUUCUCCUGCAUUUAUUUGCAUGCUUUUAAUUUAUGCUACAUUUGAAGAGUUUUGUUGCAAAACGAGAUAACCACCGUUUUUUUAAUUGUUCAGAAAUCUAGUUUUUUGGUUGUGCAUUCCAAUUAAUUUCAAUGCAACUGCAGUUGGUUUGUUUUGAUUUAAACCUUCAUAACUUAAAAAAUACAGCUGAGUAGCACCAUAAAACAAAAUAAUAACAUGAUAACAUAAUAAUAAACAUGUUUUGACAAAAAUGUUAAAAAAUGGAUUUAUCUCGUUUUGCAAUGAAACUCUUCAUUUACACUUUUAAUGGUUUGGGUUUGUGCUGUUUUCUUUACUAACAAAAACUACCAAAAGUAUUAUGCUAAUAUGCUUAUUAUGCUAAUAAGAAAGUUAAAAUGCCCCGUUCUCUCAGUACCAUGUAAACCACAGGUUGUGAAUAUGCAAAAUAUUCCUGUUUACUAUUAAAUGAUACCAGUACAGUGCUUCUUCCCAAACAUUCAUAAUCUGAUGCAUUAGAGAAAAUGUUCUGUAAAACAGCUAGUUUCAAACAUUUUAAAGGACAUAGGAAAUAAUAAAGGAACAUACAAACUUCAUGUGGACAUCACAUUUUCUUGCACCAUAUACUUAAUUCUGUGUAACUGGAACAUGUUGUACACAAACAUGGACAAUUACACUGCUUCAUGUUCAAAGAAAAAUAUUUGGUUAUAUUUAUUGGUUCUUCCUAACCCCAAACUAGCUGGAAGAAAUCUGAAAAAAAGACAAACCAAAGCUUGGGUGUUAGGAGGUUAUGUGC